ACACCUCUUGUAUAACGCCAAGUGGCCA
This 28-nucleotide small RNA is filed under the name Bombyx mori (domestic silkworm). RNAcentral's name for it is "ovarian small RNA-11019". The record is from RNAcentral. Lineage: Eukaryota; Metazoa; Arthropoda; Insecta; Lepidoptera; Bombycidae.